Molecule: long non-coding RNA, 1952 nt
Organism: Lolium rigidum
Lineage: Eukaryota; Viridiplantae; Streptophyta; Magnoliopsida; Poales; Poaceae
Exons: 4
Source: RefSeq, a predicted model, not a curated record
UACAGAUUGGCUCAGUGAUUAUGAUCCGACAAUCACUGAUUAUAGUACCAGUUCAGUGGAAAAAUGCAUGCGUAUUGGAUAAUUUCAUUUCUGUGGAACAGUUCAUGCUUAAUCAGUUUUCUACUUGGGAGUUGGGAGGAGAUACUUGAACUUGCAAAGUUUACGAACUAAUGUUCUCACUAGAGACUCAAAGUAUCUACCUUUUCUUAAAGUUGCCAAGCCAUCUACAUCGGUAAAUGACCUAACUGUUUAGGCAGACGAGAACGACAAGAUUGGAACUCUGCUAAUGUUUUGUGUGGUGUGCAUUUAUUAAUACAGUCUACAAAUUUUUUUAAACGGUUUAUAUCCGUUCCCUUUGUAGUUGUUUCUUGGGAACUAUAUUUACACAAGGACAAAAGUUUGCAUGGUUGUUGUAUUUUGUUCACACUAUUCCAAAUAAUGUUUUACAUUUUUACACACGAAGGGUGGUUUUGCACGCUGCUUAUCUGAGUAAGUAUUCUUGCUUAGUCCAUCUGAUAACAUGAUGAAAUUGCCCUCAUUGUUAACACUUUAUCGCCGAACAGAAUUUUAUCACAUGAGGUGCGAAUUUAGUGGCUUUAUUUCUGUACCUGCGAUAAGGAUAUAUCAUAUACAAUGCAUUAAUACAGUGAAAAAAUUAAGUAGUUUUGAAGGUGAUUUUUUUCUUGGUCUGCAGCUGAAAGAAAAGAAAGCAAGACAAGUAAAGAAUAAAACAGUUGUUAAAAUUCCAGAACUAAUCUGAAUGCUCUGCUGAACGAGAGGUCAGUGUUUUCUAAAAAAAACAGAGUUUAGCGGUAAAACUAAUGGACACUAAAAGAUUUUUCCUAUUUUGUCCUCCUUAGUUCUCCAUGCAAUUCCAUAAGGCUAGCUACAUAUCUGACAAUAGAAUUAUUUGCAUAUCGAAUCUUUGAUGGUGACAGUUUUGAAAUUCAACUCUUUGAGGGUAAAUCUUUGCUUGCUCUCUAUCUGAAUUCAAAUAAUACAGAAAAUAAGUACAGCAGAGACAACCAACUGUUAGUCAUAUUGGAACAGUAAUAUGAUUGCUCUGCUACACGACUAGAAAGAAAACACACAAAGAAACCGAUGGAAAGUGAAAGAUCAUGGGCUGUCAGAAUUUUCCAUCCUGUUCUUAUUUUAUGACAUGUUAAACUGUGAAGAAAAGUACUUCAAAGCUCAGAAACAAGAGGCUGCUCUUCGUCGGUGACUCAAUCAAUAGGAACAAAUUGGUCUCCCUGGUGUGCAUGCUCGAUUCCUCCAUUCCUAAGAACAUAGGAGGCAUGCAUAACACUUUCUGUCAGCUGACUUAUACAAAUUCUGGUCGUCGCUGAUACUGGAAUCAAGCAACAACAUUCUGAUAAUCUACCGGAUGGAGUACCAGAUCAUAAGGUAUAAAAUUAAGAAGCAUUCCAUUAUACAUAGAGGAACGGUGAAUCAGAAGGCCAAUAUGAGGAUGAAGGUCAUGUAUGCCUCAUUUGACGAUGGUGAUGCAAAGCUCGACGAAGUGAAGAUGGUCUAAGGUUUUGAGAUCUCUCUCAAGAAGCUAACUAAUUAGCUGGGAAUGAACAUCACCAAAAUGACUAAAAUCUAUUUCGCUGGCUCAUCGCCUAACCAUACUGGGAAAGCGUGUGGGGUGGAGACGACAACAAGGUGUAGCCGAUCCCGGAUGCUGGGGAUGAAGAGGUCACCACAGACUGCAGCAUGAUGGGCAAUGCUGGAGAUAUCUUCAGAACACUGAAGACGACGCCCCAGAUUGCCAACACCAGCUCUACGUGGGCUGUACACUUUGGUGUUUCACAGGUGCUAUUGGCAUAUGAAACUGAUGUCAAUCAGUGACGCCCAGUGUAUGAACUAACAAGAAAGAAAACUCUUGCAUCAUCAUUGUACUUCAUAAGCUACUUUUGACUGACUAUGAAAAAUAUACCCUCUAGAUGCAA